UGGAAGACUAGCGAUUUUGUUGUUAAUUAUCAGAAUCCACAACAAGUCUUGGUCUUCCUGG
This 61-nucleotide microRNA precursor is filed under the name Eptatretus burgeri (inshore hagfish). RNAcentral describes it as "Ebu-Mir-7-P8_pre stem-loop". Lineage: Eukaryota; Metazoa; Chordata; Myxini; Myxiniformes; Myxinidae. The record is from RNAcentral.